AAAAAAAAAAAAAAAAAAAAAAAGUAGCCUUGUGUAAUAUGGCCUUUAUAGUUAUCUUUUCUUUUUUUUUUUUUCUUGAGGUGGAGUGUUGCUCUGUCUCCCAGGCUGGAGUGCUGUGGUGUGAUCUCGACUCACUGCAAGCUCCGCCUCCUGGGUUCACGCCAUUCUCCUGCCUCAGCCUCCCGAGUAGCUGGGACUACAGGUGCCCACCACCAUGCCCAGCUAAUAUUUUUUGUAUUUUUAGUAGAGACGGGGUUUCACCGUGUUAGCCAGGAUGGUCUUGAUCUCCUGACCUCGUGAUCUGCCCGCCUCGGCCUCCCGAAGUGUUGGGAUUACAGGCAUGAGCCACUGCGCCCGGCCAUAUCUUUUCUUUUUAAAGUAUUUAGGUAGAUUUGAUGACAAGGAAAAAUAUUCACAUGUAUUAGUGAAAACAAACAUAUACAACAUACACACUAUGUAGUUUGAAGUUUGAAAAUAUAUGCAUCGAAAUAUUAACAAUGGUUAUCUGUGGGUGGUAGGAAUCUUGAGUAAUUUUACUUUCGUAUAUGUAUAUUUCUAGAUAGUCUAAAUUUUGUACAAUGCAUAUGUAUUUUUUUAAUGUUUUUUAUUAAGUAUACGAUACCUGCAAAAAUAAGCAAACACUCAUGUAGGCUUCACCCAACUUAAAAGUAUUCAAUGUCUCCUAUUCAUCCUUUAUUGAUGAAACAGUUCACUUACCAUUCCACUGUUGAUAGACAUCUGGGUUAUUUUCAGUUUUUGUUUUUGCUAUUACCUAUAAUUCUGCCUUGCACAUUCCUGUAUAUUUCUCCUUUGGUGUAUAUGAACAAGAGUUACUAUUUCUUUAUUUACUGCUAAGGAGUGAAAUUUCUGGGUGAAAGCAUAUGUUAUUUUCAACUGUAUUGAGUAAUAUAAAAUUGUUUUUCUAAAAUGCUUGUACCAAUUUCAAUGACCUUUAGCAAUUCAUAAAUUUUUAUUGCUCCAUAAGCUUACUAAUCCUCAUCAAUAUUUAAUGUCAAUCAGAUAGGUGUGAAAUGGCAUUUUGCCAAAGUUUUAAUUUGAAUUUCCCUUAUUACUAGUUUGAGCAUUUUUUCAUGUAACUUGCAUUAGGGUUCUCCUGAGGGACAGAACCAAUAAGAUUCACGCAUCUAUUUCAUAUAUGUAUAUAUACAUGUGUGGGUUCAAUGCAGGCUGACAGAGUGGAGAUUUGGACACAGGCUGCAUGAACGAGCAGACUGCCACUAAGGUGGCCUAAAUUUAUGUCCACUUUUGUCCCAUAGCCCAAGUUUGGGCAUCUUGCCCCUGCUUUGCCCUCUAGUAUCUGACCUUGGUUUGCUCCUCUUUUUUACUGUACAGAGCUCAAAAUGUUGAAAAUAUAGAUCUGAAUCUCAAGCGAGAGAUAAGAGCUAAAGUUGUGGAUCUGGUAAUCAUUGGUGCUGCCUCCUCCUUCCCUUCCUAAUCCCCAUUGUAAUCUGUAAAAUUUACAGUUCCAUUUAGCUGUGGCUAUUCCUCUCUUGUAGUUUACAAUCUAGAGGAAAUAAAACUAUUUACUGGUUCAUUCUUGUUGUCACAAAAAGUGUAACAGCUAAGAGAUUUCUUCACUACAAAAAUAUUUUCAGGCCCCAGUUAGUUCAUAUUAUAACGAUGUGCACAGACCCAUGAGUGAACUUCAGCCUUACCACAUGCUAGCAAUAUAGCCUUUGACAAAUUAAGCUUUCAGAUUUUUUUUGUAUGUGCAAUGAGAGUAAUAAUUUCUGUCUCUUGGGGUUUUUAUGAGGAUUAGGUGAAGGUAGUAACUUGUUUACUAUAGUGAUACUCAUUCACUGUAACCAUAAUUACAUUUAAAGAAUGAUUUAAUGCAAAAUAUUUAAAUGCAGUAAUAUUAGAAGGUAUAUAUAGCUUGAGGUCCAGUAUUCCCAGAGUUAGUUAGAGGUUAUUUUCGAGAAUAAGCUAAGCAGCACAUUAUAUAUUUAUUAAGAAUUGUCUGGGUGGACUUUCUUUUAUUGUGAUAAAAC
This 2012-nucleotide long non-coding RNA is filed under the name Homo sapiens (human). Its description in RNAcentral is "HSALNT0298646". Lineage: Eukaryota; Metazoa; Chordata; Mammalia; Primates; Hominidae. The record is from RNAcentral.